GCUUGGCAUGUUUGAACGUAAAGAUAUAAAAGAUUUAGAAGAAGAAGCUGGAGAAAGAGGCAGGAGCCAGGCAAUGGAAAAUUCAGUAAGUCAGGAAAGAAGUUUCAGUUUUAUUCUGAGUGAGGGAGCAUCAUGGGAGGAUCUGACAACAUCCCUUGACGUGAUCUAUUUACAUUUUAGAAAGAAUAUGCUGGCUGCUGGGGACGAAUACAGUGAGGAGCAGCAGUGGACUGGGGAGACGGACUAGGAGGUUAUUACAGUCAUUUCGAUGAGAUAUGGCCGCCUGAUGCCAGUGGUAGUAGAGGAAAUGGGAGAAGCAGGCAGAGCUAGGGUGUGCUUCGGAGGAAGCCUUGACAGUUCCUGAGGUCGGUUCUUUGGGAACACAUCUAGUGUCCACAGAAGUGGGAAAGGGCCUGACGCUGGGGACUCCCUUCACAUCAAGGAGAAUUGCUCUGGAAUGCUGUGGCCCAUUUCACCACCCAAGUGUAUCUGAAAAAUGAACGUCUGAGUGCUGGUAACAAAGAAGUGGGCCAGAUAGACCAAUCACCAAAGCCCAGGAGAAGAAUAAUGAGAGAAAGCUUCGGAACUCUCCCAGACAGAGAAGUGAUGCUGAGAAGAUACGAGCUGGUAGGAGGCCUAGG
Molecule: long non-coding RNA, 641 nt
Filed under: Equus caballus (horse)
Lineage: Eukaryota; Metazoa; Chordata; Mammalia; Perissodactyla; Equidae
Description: lncRNA (ENSECAG00000031117.3)
Source: RNAcentral